Molecule: long non-coding RNA, 541 nt
Filed under: Pelobates cultripes (western spadefoot toad)
Lineage: Eukaryota; Metazoa; Chordata; Amphibia; Anura; Pelobatidae
Source: RNAcentral
AGUCAAGCUCAACUCCCAGUCCUACUGCCAGUUCCUGGAAGACACCUUCUUCAAGCAGUGGUACAGGAAGAAGUCUGCAUCCUUCAAGAAAAACAUGAUUUUCAUGCAGGACAAUGCUCCAUCACACGCGUCCAAGUACUCCACAGCGUGGCUGGCAAGAAAGGGUAUAAAAGAAGAAAAUCUAAUGACAUGGCCUCCUUGUUCACCUGAUCUGAACCCCAUUGAGAACCUGUGGUCCAUCAUCAAAUGUGAGAUAUACAAGGAGGGAAAACAGUACACCUCUCUGAACAGUGUCUGGGAGGCUGUGGUUGCUGCUGCACGCAAUGUUGAUGGUGAACAGAUCAAAACACUGACAGAAUCCAUGGAUGGCAGGCUUUUGAGUGUCCUUGCAAAGAAAGGUGGCUAUAUUGGUCACUGAUUUGUUUUUGGUUUUGUUUUUGAAUGUCAGAAAUGUAUAUUUGUGAAUGUUGAGAUGUUAUAUUGGUUUCACUGGUAAUAAUAAAUAAUUGAAAUGGGUAUAUAUUUGUUUUUUGUUAAGUUG